This 497-nucleotide ribosomal RNA is filed under the name uncultured bacterium. Its description in RNAcentral is "partial 16S ribosomal RNA". It matches the Rfam family "Bacterial small subunit ribosomal RNA", at positions 28 to 507 of the family's 1533-position model. The record is from RNAcentral.
GAUGAACGCUGGCGGCGUGCCUAAUACAUGCCAGUCGAGCGAACAGACGAGGAGCUUGCUCCUCUGACGUUAGCGGCGGACGGGUGAGUAACACGUGGAUAACCUACCUAUAAGACUGGGAUAACUUCGGGAAACCUGAGCUAAUACCGGAUAAUAUAUUGAACCGCAUGGUUCAAUAGUGAAAGACGGUUUUGCUGUCACUUAUAGAUGGAUCCGCGCCGCAUUAGCUAGUUGGUAAGGUAACGGCUUACCAAGGCAACGAUGCGUAGCCGACCUGAGAGGGUGAUCGGCCACACUGGAACUGAGACACGGUCCAGACUCCUACGGGAGGCAGCAGUAGGGAAUCUUCCGCAAUGGGCGAAAGCCUGACGGAGCAACGCCGCGUGAGUGAUGAAGGUCUUCGGAUCGUAAAACUCUGUUAUUAGGGAAGAACAAAUGUGUAAGUAACUAUGCACGUCUUGACGGUACCUAAUCAGAAAGCCACGGCUAACUACGUG